This 253-nucleotide ribosomal RNA is filed under the name uncultured bacterium. Its description in RNAcentral is "partial 16S ribosomal RNA". It matches the Rfam family "Bacterial small subunit ribosomal RNA", at positions 524 to 776 of the family's 1533-position model. The record is from RNAcentral.
UACGUAGGUGGCAAGCGUUAUCCGGAAUUACUGGGCGUAAAGCGCACGUAGGUGGCGACGUAAGUCGGGUGUGAAAGCCCCGGGCUCAACCUGGGAAUUGCAUUCGAGACUGCAUUGCUGGAGUACGGAAGAGGAGGGCGGAAUUCCCGGUGUAGCGGUGAAAUGCGUAGAUAUCGGGAGGAACAUCAGUGGCGAAGGCGGCCCUCUGGUCCAGUACUGACACUCAAGUGCGAAAGCGUGGGGAGCAAACAGG